Molecule: small nuclear RNA, 72 nt
Filed under: Neotoma lepida (desert woodrat)
Lineage: Eukaryota; Metazoa; Chordata; Mammalia; Rodentia; Cricetidae
Source: RNAcentral
ACUUAUAGAGAAGAUUAGCAUGGCCCCUGCGCAAAGAUGGCAACGCAAAUUUGUGAAGCGUUCCAUAUUGGA